GGAAUAUUGCGCAAUGGGCGAAAGCCUGACGCAGCGACGCCGCGUGAGGGAUGACGGCCUUCGGGUUGUAAACCUCUGUCAGUGGGGAAGAGAACGGACGGUACCCGCUGAGGAAGCAUCGGCUUACUACGUGCCAGCAGCCGCGGUAAUACGUAGGAUGCGAGCGUUGUCCGGAAUUACUGGGCGUAAAGAGCUCGUAGGCGGAGAAGUACGUUUGGAAGUAAAUCUCACGGCUCAACCGUGAGCUCAUUCCGAAUACGGCUUUUCUUGAGGUCAGCAGGGGAGAAUGGAAUUCCCAGUGUAGCGGUGAAAUGCGUAGAUAUUGGGAAGAAUACCGGUGGCGAAGGCGAUUCUCUGGGCUGUCUCUGACGCUGAGGAGCGAAAGCGUGGGUAGCGAACG
Molecule: ribosomal RNA, 400 nt
Filed under: uncultured bacterium
Lineage: Bacteria
Description: bacterial SSU rRNA
Rfam family: Bacterial small subunit ribosomal RNA
Source: RNAcentral